Molecule: ribosomal RNA, 33 nt
Filed under: Phytophthora colocasiae
Lineage: Eukaryota; Oomycota; Peronosporomycetes; Peronosporales; Peronosporaceae
Description: partial 18S ribosomal RNA
Source: RNAcentral
CCUUCUGUUUAGGGGGGCCUGCGGAAGGAUCAU